ACCAGCUUUAUGUUGAUUUUCAAACUGCUUGUAUUCUCAGGUCAGCGUUAGACAGGUACACCGCAACCUUUUGGAGAAGACGGACCGUCCCGAAGACUCGUCUUUACUUUUGUUCAUAUUACAUAUGUAAAACACCUGUACAACUUUUCUAUUAAACAGAUGUAAACAAUAUUAUGUAAUGUAAUGUUUUGUGAUUACUGCUUUACUAUGUGCAUUGGAUUUGAUACUCAACAUGGAGUCAACCCCGGAAAUGUUUCCGCCUUUGGUUUUUGGGGUGUGACAGAUUGGUAUCAAAGCCCUUGUUUAUAGUGAACUGGUAUACCAAAGCUUACAUGGUAUAAGAGUAUAAACAUUAAAGGGCCUAAGUGCUCUGAACUAAAAGUAUACCCUACGAGUAUAAGUAUUUUCUAAAAGUAUACAAGUAUACCGACCGUCGAGAUCCGUAACUACAAGUNAAUCCGUAACUACAAGUAGAACAAAACAUAAGUAAAUGGGUGUUGUACGCUGCGGUUAAACCUGGGCAGUUAUGUAGUCGUGUCUAGGAUCAAUAUAGCCUGGCCAACUAUAUUCAUUCGAGACACGACCAACAUGUGCCUGGGAGUGACUGUGGUAUGCGGCAUGCCUAAAACUUACCCUAAUACCACAAACAUCGAAUCAGCGUCGUAACAAGUCAUGAAAUACUAUGGGAGUAUUUCUCGAGCCAAUCCUUGGUAGAAAUCCUCGUUCAUGCAUUGUUCUUUGAUCAUUCCCUUAGCGAUAAUUUUUUUCCCACUUUGAUAACUCUUUCCUGCUUUAUCACUUCUUCGCAUAUAUCUGUCAUAUCUCUUGAUUCAAUUUAGAGGACUUAUCAUCCUCUCUUCCUUGAUCUUAUUAGAUCAAGAUGCCUCCAAGAAAGAGACCCAGCGCUAAGACCAACAACCCUCCGCCACCACCUCCUCUUCAAAUCGAUCUGGAAACUCUUUAGGCAACCAUUUCUGCCACAAUAUCAGCUCUCCUACCUCAAUUUAACCCCAAUGGUCUAGGAAGUGGUUCCCAAAACCAAGAAGGUAAUCAGGGACACCGGAAGGAGUGUUCCUAUAAAGACUUUAUGAACGCAAAACCCACAUUCUUCGAUGGCACAGGGGGUGUCAUUGCUCUAACUCGGUGGUUAGAGAAAAUCGAAUCUUUUUUCGAGAUCUGUGCUUGUUCGGAUUCCGACAAAGUAAAGUUUGCCGCCUGUACUCUCCUCGAUAAAGCUUUGACUUGGUCGAACAGCCGAGUCAAAUCCCUGACCUUAUCUGUAGCCAAUGCUAUGGGAUGGGAAGUAAUGAAGGAACUACUACGUGCGGAGUAUUGCCCUCGAGGUGAAAUCCAGAAGCUGGAACACGAGCUAUGGAACCUGAAGAUGAAAGGUUCCGAUAUCGCCUCUUACACUUCAAGGUUUGAUGACCUGGCACUCCUUUGUCCGGGAAUGGUUACCCCGGAAAGCAAAAUGGUAGAAAGGUUCGUUUGGGGAUUAACCCAGACAACAAAAGGGAACGUUAUAGCAGCAAAGCCAGAUACCUAUGACAGCGCCAAAUGUCUAGCGCAAACCCUGAUCGACCACAGCGAAAACCAAGAAGAAGCAGAUGCCACUCCCGAGCCAACAGAAAAGAGUGGCGAGAAAAUAAAGUUUUGGAAGAAGAGGAGGAAGAGUCAGUCUUCCCCAUAACACUCAAAGAAACAGCAAAUAGUGGCAGUCCACGCUACCACUAUCCCUGCUGUUGUUUCUAUUGUCAAUUCCACAUCUCAAGCACCUGUCACCGGAUAUGCCGAUAUCCUCCCAUGGUGUAACCAUUGCAGCUACCACCAUCGCAUCCCUGGCCAUGUCGUGCAAANGUGGCCAGGAAGGUCACCUCGCACGAACCUGCAAAACCCCAACCCCGUCAACUAGUCAGGCUGCCGGAGCAGGUAUCGGUCAAACCUGCUACAGUUGUGGAGAGGUCGGACACUAUAAGCGAAACUGUCCGAAGACAGUAACAUCUGGUAACACCGGGAGAGUCCUAACCAUGGGACAAGAAAGGACAGUCGCUGUUCCCACCGUUGCUACAAGUAUACUUCUCUUCGAUAAAUCUUGUGCCCGUAAUCCUUUCGAUUCUAAUGAUGAAAGAGUUUGCUGAUCGUUCAUUCAAAUAUCUAUCUAGACUAAAUCCUUUGUCAAUAAUUGAAACGUGCACCGUCAAGAUAACUAACCAGUGAGAUAGAGAACACUAACUUCGUACCCGUAGAUUGAUUCAUCAGUCGGGAGGAUUAUCCUGUUCCAUUCGAUCCAAAUGGGAAACUUUUCACAAAACAUUUUGAUGCUAUGAUUGAAAUGAAAUGACCGAGUCUCAUUCAUGUCGACAUCCUUAGAUUUGAAAGGGUUGCCCGUUUAGAUCUUUUCCUCCACCUGACUCUUGUGAUCUUCGGCAUCAAACCUUCAUAUCAUUCCAUGCCUUAGAACUCAAAUGUUUUCCCGAUAUGAAUUACCAUGCAUCCCUCAUUUCUGUGAUCAUUGAGAAACGGGAAGUUAGUAGCUAUUUCCUCUAAAUGUAUUUCCCGAAAGAUUCCCGGGAAUUCCUUCCGAACGUCUAGCUUAGUCCCACAACAGGCUUUUCGCGAUCUUCGUAGGAAUCGAUUCUACAAUCUUCAGAGUUCGGAUGCCUUUAGAGCUUGGUGACAUCUAUUCAGUACAUCACGUCUUAAAUCCUUAGAAGCAUCUACCCAAUGAAAACCUAAUGAUUCCUUUGAGGAAAUUGAAGUCGUCCAGGGUUGGAACUUCCGUGAGAAAACUGAUUGACAUUGUAGAUUGAGAGAAUCAAUGUGCAAAACAAAGACAGGUCCUGGUAAUGAGAAUUCGUUAGAACACCCAGUAGAGACCUGAUUCCACUUGAGAAAGUGAAGAUCCGAGGCAACAAAUCCAUUCGUGUCUCAUUCCAAAUUCAUGAUCUAUAUCUUAUUCUUCGAAUUUCGGGACGAAAUUCCUUCUAACGGGGGGAUAAUGUAACAACCCGAAGUUUUCCAUCGUCGAAAAACCCGUUCUACCCGUAAAAUUCGCCGUUAAUCAAUUCGUUUCGUUUCCGUUUUGGGUUAAUGUAAAUAAAUUUAUACGUUUAUUAUAAUGCAAUGAGUGUCCAAACCCUUUAGGAACUUAUGAAUCUAGCCCAAAAAUGUUUAUUUCAAAAAGUUAGAAACGUCCCCGCCGGGUGACGGAAACUUAAUCGGGUGCGACCUAAAGCCCCGUUUAAGGCCAGUAUCGGGUAGAAUUCCACCGUGUCCAAGUUUUGGGAACUAUAUAAACGUGUUUAAACAUUCAUUUGAAGCUUUUUCUUCCUCUCUCUGCUCUCUCUCUAACCUCUCUCCUAAAAUCCAAAAUUAAGGGUCCAAAUCAUCAAUUUUAGGCUCCAAAUCUUUCAGGUACCUUCCCUAACUUGAUAUGUAACAUUCCUAGCCUUCAAAUUCGAGUUCAAAUCAUAGAAAAGGACCACAUUCAUGAUUUUAUGGCCAAGGAAUAGUCCUAGGCCGUGAACUCAUAUAAAAUGGGUUUUGGAGCACAAAAACCCUUCCUAAACACAAUUGGACAUUAGAUAUGGCUAGAUGGCUUUAUGGAAUGGACCUAGAAUGCCUUAAACUAUAAUUUGGAGACUUGAAUAGGAGUUUACGGCCAAGGAUGGUGUUUAGGCCGUAAACUCAUAAUUAUAGGGUUUUUAAGCCCUUAAACCCUUCCAAAACUACAACAAGACAUGGAUAUGACUUCUAGAAUAAUUGCUUUAGACUUGGAACACUUUAAACAUAAUUUUUGAGGGACUUAUGUGAGUUUACGGCCAAGGCAUGUGCUUGGGCCGUAAACUCCUUGAAUCAUGGUAUAAAUUCAGUUUCAAGGUGUUAGAAAGCCAUCCAACACCACCAAAAGCCUUGGAAUAAAUCAUAGGACCAACCAAAAAUAGUUUAAGGACCUUAAACACAUUAUUUGAGGGAUUUAUAUGAGUUUAUGGCCAAGGCUUGUGCUUGGGCCGUAAACUCCUUGAUUCAUGGUGUUAGAAUGCCACCUAAACACCCCUAAGCCUUGGAANUGAAUUUUAGAAGUCCUUACAAUCAAUUUUUUGGCCUUAAAACAUAUGGAAUCACCAUCUAAGAGAGUUUACGGCCAUGAGGGGGGUCUCAUAGGCCAUAAAAUCCAAAAACUUCUUCAAAACUUCAAGCAAAUGCAUGUUGGCUUAGGAAUAAAUUUGGCAAUCACAUGUGAUUUGUUUUGGCAUCAUGUAACACAUUGUUCUUGGGUAUUUAGGAGUUUACAGCCAGGAUCUUAUGCUAGGCCGUAAACUCCCAUAAAUAAGUCAUUUUGAUGUUUAAAAAUCCAUUCCAAGCCUUUGAUCCAAGCCUAGAAAAAUUCCCUUAAGUGGUUGAAGUGAUUUUGCACCAUAAACUACCCCACCAUGAGUUUACGGCCAUAAAAUCAUGGGGAAGGGGUGUUUUAGACCUUAAACCCUUGUAUAAGUUUAUUCAUAGGGAAUAAACUCAAGUCCCAAGUCCCUAGUGUCAUUUCACGUCCUUAAACGCCACCCCAGUCCCUCCAAACACUCGUAAUGGGGUGUUUCCGCGACUACAAGUAUUUGUCCCUAAAAAAUAAUUAAUAUAAGUCCUAAUUAGAUAUAAAUGUGUAUCUUUAAAUUAUACUUAGGAACCUCGUGCAUUUUCAAGCCCCGGACCAACGUUUAGCAUCCGAAAUCGUCACGUUUCUUGUCCGGUGAGUUCAUACCCCUACCCUUUCUCACUGUUUUUAACUGUUUUCAGGGGGGAAUACAAGCAAAAGUACAAUCUUAUCUUGUACUUAAACUGAUUUACAACUUAAUGAUUUUAGUUUCUAAAUGUCAUGAUUUCCAAAGAUUAUGAUAACUGAUGUUUCGAAUUGCAGGUUAAUUAUAGAUUUCUUUUGAAAAGUGUUUUGAUCUAUAUUGUCUUUUGUAAAAGAAAUCAUACUAAUUUUAACGAAUAUACUAAUAAGAAUACGAAUGUAAUCUAGAAAGAAUACGAAUACGAAGACUAAUAUGAAUACGAAUGUAAUCUAGAGCGAAUAAGAAUACGAAUACUAAUACGAAUACGAAUGUAGUCUAGAACUAAUACGAAUACGAAUGUAGUCUAGAACGAAUACGAAUACGAAUGUAAUCUAGAACAAAUACGAAUACGAAUGUAAUCUAGAACGAAUAUGUCUACAAAUACGAAUACGACUACGAAUGCGAAUACGACUACGAAUACGAAAUGACGCCUUUGGUUGACACUAAGACUUCGAAUAUACAGUUAGUGUACCCCUUGAGUGUCACCAGAGUUUCGAAUUUAAAACGAAAAUACGCCUCUAGACCUCUUCUGAGUUUCAAAUAUAUCCGCCUCAGAAUGUCGACAGAGCUUCGAAUACACAUCUAAUAUACUCCUUUGGAACUCAGCAGAACUUCGAAAAAACUAUAAAGUACACUUCUGUGUGAUUCCAAAUAUUCGAAAUUACGACUAAGUUAGUAGAUUAUAGUCAUCCGAUUGUAGAAUAACUAAGGAAGUAGAACACAUAAUUAAUACUACUCACAUGGUAAUUACUGGUAUUUCGAAAUCAGACUUAAGAACAAAACACUCAACAUAUAGGAAAAUAUGGGAUUUUCCUGGGAUAACAUUAAAAAUCAGUAACGAACCUAGAUACUAAUAAACAACUCAACACAUAGGAAAAUAUGGGAUUUUCCUGGGUAACACAACAACACAUAAACGAAUAAAGAAACGAACGAAUAACUAAAACUAUAAGGAAAAUAUGGGAUUUUCCUGGAAUGACAUAACCAACCGUUUUCGAAAUUUUAACAAAGGAUAACCAAACUGUUUUCAUAAGAAAAUAUGGGAUUUUCUUCAUCAACAACUUUUCUUGAACGUAAAGGAACUCGUCUUUUCAAAACUAAACCGCUUAUGAACUCAUCAGGUUUAUGCUGAUUUUCAAACUGCUUGUAUUCUCAGGUCAGCAUUAGACAGGUACACCGCAACCUUUUGGAGAAGACGGAGCAUCCCAAAGACUCGUCUGUACUUUUGUUCAUAUUACAUAUGUAAAACACUUGUACAACUUUUCUUUUAAACAGAUGUAAACAAUAUUAUGUAAUGUAAUGUUUUGUGAUUACUGCUUUACUAUGUGCAUUGGAUUUGAUACUCAACAUGGACUCAACCCCGGAAAUGUUUCCGCCUUUGGUUUUCGGGGUGUGAC
This 6226-nucleotide long non-coding RNA is filed under the name Lactuca sativa (garden lettuce). RNAcentral describes it as "long non-coding RNA (LSAT_LNC000623)". The record is from RNAcentral. Lineage: Eukaryota; Viridiplantae; Streptophyta; Magnoliopsida; Asterales; Asteraceae.